Molecule: ribosomal RNA, 579 nt
Filed under: Halorubrum californiense
Lineage: Archaea; Methanobacteriati; Methanobacteriota; Halobacteria; Halobacteriales; Haloferacaceae
Description: bacterial SSU rRNA
Rfam family: Archaeal small subunit ribosomal RNA
Source: RNAcentral
GAAACCUUUACACUGCCCGACAGUGCGAUAGGGGGAUCCCAAGUGCACAGGCAUAGCGCCUGUGCUUUUCGGUACCCUAAGGCGGUACCAGAAUAAGGGCUGGGCAAGACCGGUGCCAGCCGCCGCGGUAAUACCGGCAGCCCAAGUGAUGGCCGAUCUUAUUGGGCUAAAGCGUCCGUAGCUGGCCGCGCAAGUCCAUCGGGAAAUCCACCUGCUCAACAGGUGGGCGCCCGGUAGAAACUGCGUGGCUUGGGACCGGAAGGCGCGACGGGUACGUCCGGGGUAGGAGUGAAAUCCCGUAAUCCUGGACGGACCGCCGAUGGCGAAAGCACGUCGCGAGAACGGAUCCGACAGUGAGGGACGAAAGCCAGGGUCUCGAACCGGAUUAGAUACCCGGGUAGUCCUGGCCGUAAACAAUGUCUGCUAGGUGUGGCUCCCACUACGAGUGGGUGCUGUGCCGUAGGGAAGCCGCUAAGCAGACCGCCUGGGAAGUACGUCCGCAAGGAUGAAACUUAAAGGAAUUGGCGGGGGAGCACUACAACCGGAGGAGCCUGCGGUUUAAUUGGACUCAACGCCGGA